AUUGGUGUCACAAAAUCGGAGGCCUCGACUGUUUACUAAAAACACAAGAAUGUGCAAUGAUAAAAGUCAUAGUAUACGUUCUGAAAUUGCUCGAUGCCAUUAAUAUAAAAGAGGUAAUGGGUAACUGUUACUAAUUGAAAGUCUGGUUAAUAGCGGUCUUAACUAUGAGGAUCCUAAGGUAGCGAAAUCAAUUGGCCAUUAAAUGUGGUCCGGUAUCAAUAAUGUAACGAAGGUCUCACUGUCUCUACAACUUGCUCAGUGAAAUUGAAUUACCCGUGCAGAGCGGG
Molecule: ribosomal RNA, 287 nt
Filed under: Xylodon sp. CFMR FP102957
Lineage: Eukaryota; Fungi; Basidiomycota; Agaricomycetes; Hymenochaetales; Schizoporaceae
Description: partial large subunit ribosomal RNA
Rfam family: Bacterial large subunit ribosomal RNA
Source: RNAcentral